This 464-nucleotide ribosomal RNA is filed under the name uncultured bacterium. Its description in RNAcentral is "bacterial SSU rRNA". It matches the Rfam family "Bacterial small subunit ribosomal RNA", at positions 339 to 796 of the family's 1533-position model. The record is from RNAcentral.
CUACGGGAGGCAGCAGUUUCGAAUCAUUCACAAUGGGCGAAAGCCUGAUGGUGCGACGCCGCGUGAGGGAUGAAGGUCUUCGGAUCGUAAACCUCUGUCACCGGGGAAGAAACGCUAAUCGAUAACAUCGCUUAGCCUGACUUAACCCGGAGAGGAAGCAGUGGCUAACUCUGUGCCAGCAGCCGCGGUAAUACAGAGACUGCAAGCGUUAUUCGGAUUCACUGGGCGUAAAGGGUGCGCAGGCGGCCAUGUGUGUGAGGUGUGAAAUCCCGGAGCUUAACUCCGGAACUGCGCCUCAAACUACAUGGCUAGAGCAUUGGAGAGGGAAGUGGAAUUCACGGUGUAGCAGUGAAAUGCGUAGAUAUCGUGAGGAACACCAGAGGCGAAGGCGACUUCCUGGACAAUUGCUGACGCCCAGGCACGAAAGCGUGGGGAGCAAAAGGGAUUAGAAACCCUUGUAGUCC